UUACAUUUUGUAUAUGAUCUCAUUUUACUGGGUUUGUUUUUGGCUCAAGGUUCUGUCUGUUUUUGGCUGUCUUCGGCUCCCUUCGAACUCUCACUCGCAAGAGCUUACACCGUUCCACUCUCACUGUUGUUCACUCCGGCUCGACAUCACUUCGGCUGCUGGGUUAGUUUAUCACUUUGGCACCUGACACCCUAUAAACUCUCAAUCACGCAUAUACAGAUCUGUGAAUUUUGAGGGGUUCUGCAAAUUGAGGGUAAUGCAGACCAGGUAAAUGGAGAGGAUGAACUCUAUGAGUAGAGGGAAGCGAAAUUUGGAGGGCGGUGACGAUGACCAACUGGAGCGAAAGCAACCGGCUUUAGCUAGGUAAAUUUGAGUUUUGUUCGGUCGGUUGUGUUGAUUUGGUGUUGUUUUGUUGUGUUUUAUUUGUUAAUUUUUGCUGAUUGAUUAGUUGGGUAGUGAAAACUGUAGUUGUUUUACAUGUAUGGUAAUUAUGUUAAUACUUGAUUGUAUUGCCUCGGUGGAAUGGAAUUAUUAUGAUUCUGUGAUAUGCUUAAUGAUGUUGACUGCGCUUCUCUAAUUGCAAUCUUGAAUUGAAUUUUUCUAUAGCUUUGUUGCAAUUAUUGGUAGGGAGAAUAGGAGAGUUUCAGACAGUUUGAGAUAGGUGGUCAAUGAUGGUAGGGAGAAUAGGAGAGUUUCAAACAGUUUGAAAUAGAGUUUCAGACAGUUUUAUAUAUUUUUGUUGAUUAGGUUGUGUUUCUAAGAUUUCGGUUUCGAUUUGUGUUUGUGUUUCUAAGAUUUCUGUUUGGUUUUGUGUGAUUAGGUAUGCAUUCAAUGGAACCACAGAAAAAGUUGGAAACAAAUCUUAAGAGACACAAAGCAUUGGAACAGAGCAUUGAAAAUCAUUAUGUUUCUUUUCAAUCAAAGCAAAAGAGACCCAUCAAUUUGGGUUUAUGUUUCUAAGAUUUGGAUUUGUAUUUGUUUUUCUAAACCUUAAACUGAUGUGUUUGUGUUGGAUUUGUGUUUUUAAACCUUAAACUGAUAUGUAUUUGGAUUUCUCUUUC
This is a non-coding RNA of Camellia sinensis, 1061 nucleotides long. The record is from RefSeq and is a predicted model, not a curated record. NCBI's taxonomy places the organism in Eukaryota, Viridiplantae, Streptophyta, Magnoliopsida, Ericales, Theaceae.